This 116-nucleotide small RNA is filed under the name Acinetobacter sp. RNAcentral's name for it is "Manganese sequence". The stretch from base 8 to 99 matches the Rfam family "Manganese Mn2+ riboswitch aptamer (yybP-ykoY)". From Rfam's summary of the family: This RNA was originally discovered in E. coli during a large scale screen and was named SraF. The record is from RNAcentral. Lineage: Bacteria; Pseudomonadati; Pseudomonadota; Gammaproteobacteria; Moraxellales; Moraxellaceae.
GCUUACUUCAUUGGGGAGUAGCCUCUAUUUACGCAAAGUAAAUAGGUGAUGAUCAACAUAAUUGCUCAACAGAGCAUGGUCAUCAUAGCUUAAACGCUUCCAAGCGUUCCAGAGUU